AUACGGAGGGUGCGAGCGUUGUUCGGAAUUACUGGGCGUAAAGGGCGCGUAGGCGGCUUUACAAGUCAGGUGUGAAAGUCCACGGCUCAACCGUGGAAGUGCAUUUGAAACUGUAAGGCUUGAGUACUGGAGGGGAGUGUGGAAUUCCUGGUGUAGAGGUGAAAUUCGUAGAGAUCAGGAGGAAUACCGGUGGCGAAGGCGACACUCUGGACAGAUACUGACGCUGAGGCGCGAAAGCGUGGGGAGCAAACAGGAUUAGAAACCCCAGUAGUCC
Molecule: ribosomal RNA, 274 nt
Filed under: uncultured bacterium
Lineage: Bacteria
Description: partial 16S ribosomal RNA
Rfam family: Bacterial small subunit ribosomal RNA
Source: RNAcentral